UGUUAAAUUACCUUAUUGAAUAAGUGUUGAAAAAAUUAUUUCAGCUAUCUAGUUAAACUUAACAUCUUUAAAAAUUCUUGUUAUUUUAACAAACCUCUAACAUUUUAUUGUUUAUCAAAUUCUUAAAAAUAUAUAUAUAAAUUCAAAGAGAACGUGUGUAGAUAGCUAAAGAGUUUUAGGGCUCGUUUGGAAGUGUUUUUGAAA
RNAcentral lists this long non-coding RNA (204 nucleotides) under Malus domestica (apple). RNAcentral describes it as "long non-coding RNA (MDOM_LNC003431)". The record is from RNAcentral. Lineage: Eukaryota; Viridiplantae; Streptophyta; Magnoliopsida; Rosales; Rosaceae.